CUGAUGUGGUGCAGGUAAUUGGAGUUGCAAAAUAGCUUGUACACGCUGAGAAGUUAGAUGUCUGGUGCCAUGGGAAAGACAAUGUCCCAAGAAGACCACAGAGGGCCGGCACCAUUGCAGCUUGGAUUUGGAAGUUUUGCAACCUGCAGCAGCGAGAAAACAUAGGAGAUCUUCUGAGUCACGCUCUGCAAUAAGCAAAUUAGGAGCACAGAGAAGGAGGUCAUCAACAUAUUGAAGUAGAAUAACAUCCAGAUGAGUAUGGGGGUUUGGAACAAUAGCAGUGUCCUUUAUGGUUACUUCAUUAACAGCACGGAGGUCCUGUACCAUGCGGUACUGGUCGGGUUGGCCCUUAACAGUUCGCUUUUUAACAGGGAAAAGUGGGGUGUUGUAUGGAGAUGUGCACUUGGUGAGGGCACCUUUGGCAAGCAGAGACUCAACUUGUUUGGUGAUGGUUUCAGCUUGUGGUGACUUCAGAGGAUACUGAGGUCUACGAAGAGGAAGUGCUCCAGGCAGGAGCUGGACCAGGACGGGGGGUACAUGUAAGCGUCCAAUAUCAUCCGGGCCGGUGGACCAAAGUUCUUGGGGGAUACGAUCCAGAGCACUGGGGGGGGGUGUGACCCGUGCACUCCCUGUAUUGUCAGUUAGGUUCAACAAGAUGGGGAGUGAGCAGAGUACAGUGGUGUCUGACUGUGAUAAGGGUGUAGUUAACUGGACCCUGGAGCCGAGAAGGAACAUCAGCACCCAAGAGGUUAAUGGGACAAGUAGAAGAAACAACAAAACGUGAGAGUAUGUGUGAACCAACAUGCAGGAGUGUAGGGAGGGGGCUACUGCGGGGUGUACCAUCCACCCCAACACAGGAGACAUCGGUGUCUGACAAAAAGGAGGGGUCAUGGCAGGGGUUGCUGACACAGGCUUGCCGGUAACCUAUUGCAGUAAAUCUAAAUGGGCCUGGUCGGGUCCUUGGUACCGGCGGGUAGAAGUGGGAGGGUGGCUGGACUGCAUAGGAGCACGGGCAAGGCGGCUUUGUCGAGGUAGGGGCUGAAUAUCUCGGAAACCACCCGUGUCAAACCCAUCAGCAUGAGCUGGAGGGUAUGCACGGGCCUCUAAAGCAGGGGGCCGGCUGGGAUGGGCGUGAUAGGUGAGUAUUAAGGACGUGAGCAAGGGUAGAGAUUGGAUCGGAAGGCUCGGGGACGUUAGCCGGGGGCGGAGAAGGGGUUGGAGGAUCAGAGGGAGGAGGAGGAGGUAAAUCAGUGGGAGGCGGGGCAGGAAUCGCGGAAUUAACCAGGGAGGUAACAGCAGAGAAGAGGGCGGAUAUCGAGCUAGACAGGUCAUUGGCCAUGGUUGGGUCAGGGGUCACCGGGGGAGAGGUCGGAGGGAUGGGAACAGGGGGCUGGGUCGUAACAGCGUGGGUAAACCAGUCGGGGGAGGAGGAGACAACGAGGUAGAGGGGGCCAGGACUUCGGGAGGAGGAGGUAACACUGGAGAAGGGGUGGUAACGGGGGGUUGGGUCAGGGCGGUGAGGGCAGAAAUCAGGGACGGCAAAUCGGCCGAGGGAGGAGGAGGCAACGAGGUAGAGGGGACCGGGACUUCGGGAGGAGGAGGUAACACUGGAGAAGGGGUGGUAACGGGGGGUUGGGUCAGGGCGUUGAGGGCAGAAAUCAGGGACGGCAAAUCGGCCGAGGGAGGAGGAGGCAACGAGGUAGAGGGGACCGGGACUUCGGGAGGAGGAGGUAACACUGGAGAAGGGGUUGGAUGGGUGGUAACGGGGGGCUGGGUCAGGGCGGUGAGGGCAGAGUUUAGGGACGGCAAAUCAGUCGGGAGGGGAGGGGACAACGAGGUAGAAGAGAGGUCCGGAGGCAUAAGGGAAGCGGGAUCAGCGGGAGGAAAAGGGUCUGGAGGAUCUGGGGCGGUGGGGUGAGUAAGGUCGAGAGGGCAGAGAGCGGGGCAGCGGAUGGAGACGGGUGAGUGGGUAACACUGGGGAGGGGUCAGUCGAGGUGGAGAGGGGACGAGAGGCAAGCAUAGGUAAAGGUGGCGGGGGACAGGGAGGCGGAGGAAU
RNAcentral lists this long non-coding RNA (2057 nucleotides) under Pelobates cultripes (western spadefoot toad). The record is from RNAcentral. Lineage: Eukaryota; Metazoa; Chordata; Amphibia; Anura; Pelobatidae.